RNAcentral lists this ribosomal RNA (497 nucleotides) under uncultured bacterium. RNAcentral's name for it is "partial 16S ribosomal RNA". It matches the Rfam family "Bacterial small subunit ribosomal RNA", at positions 28 to 507 of the family's 1533-position model. The record is from RNAcentral.
GAUGAACGCUGGCGGCGUGCCUAAUACAUGCAAGUCGAGCGAACAGACGAGGAGCUUGCUCCUCUGACGUUAGCGGCGGACGGGUGAGUAACACGUGGAUAACCUCCCUAUAAGACUGGGAUAACUUCGGGAAACCGGAGCUAAUACCGGAUAAUAUAUUGAACCGCAUGGUUCAAUAGUGAAAGACGGUUUUGCUGUCACUUAUAGAUGGAUCCGCGCCGCAUUAGCUAGUUGGUAAGGUAACGGCUUACCAAGGCAACGAUGCGUAGCCGACCUGAGAGGGUGAUCGGCCACACUGGAACUGAGACACGGUCCAGGCUCCUACGGGAGGCAGCAGUAGGGAAUCUUCCGCAAUGGGCGAAAGCUUGACGGAGCAACGCCGCGUGAGUGAUGAAGGUCUUCGGAUCGUAAAACUCUGUUAUUAGGGAAGAACAAAUGUGUAAGUAACUAUGCACGUCUUGACGGUACCUAAUCAGAAAGCCACGGCUAACUACGUG